GUGACUCAGGAUCAUGUUAUGAUUUAGUCCAUACUGAAUCCUUCUAUUUAUUUGGGUUAAGAAAAAGAGAAAGAAAAACUGAGCCUUUCUCUACCAUACAAAAACUCUUAAAUCUUAAAAUCAGAGUGGAGGCCAGUGUGUUUUUUUUUUUCAUUGCAUUGAGAAUGAUCAGAAGGAAAGAAAACAGCAAGUCUUAAAAUCUUUUCUUGUUUUGUACCAAGUUUGGAUUUUGUUUUUCCUUCACAUUUUCUUUGUUCUUUCCCCAGUUUCUUUGUUGUUCUCAGGAAGGCGAAAUAUUCUUCCAUUUUCAGCCCAGCAGAGUGGAAUUUAUACCCAAACAUCCUCAUCAGAUUGACAAAGCAUCCUGCAGGGACAUCAUGGAGCUCAUUUAAUCUCUGGGAGAGGAAACUGAAGCUGGACUCCCUGACAACAAUGAUGAAUCUAAAUUCAACAACCAUUAACCAAGGAUUUGUUGAUUUAUAUGGACUUGAGGGAAGAUAUUAUCUCUUCGACUAAGUUUGUUCUCGAUAAGUUCUUAAUCCUCAAGACCAGGAAAAAUAGAGUAUUUUUAGACUGAGCUUGGUAUAAGAAAAUUCCCCAUCAUUUUUUUCCCAUUGCUUUCCAAUUUAUAGAAAAAUAAAACCAAAAUAAAAAUAAUGGCAUUUAUUCUACUCUGCCCUGUACUGUAUUUUGAGGUGGAUUCUUUGUUUUUUUUCUUCUAUAUUUCAUGGUAUAAAUGGAGGUAAAGUAAUUUGCCUAAGGUCCUAAAUGUAGCAUGUGAUGUCCAGCUCUCUUAACUACUACCUUAUCCAUCAGAGUCUACAGAAAUAUAAAUCUUCCUUCAAGACCAAAUGGCACUGAAUUCUAGAGUUUAAUAAAACUUCAUGUGAGAAAUGACUGGAAGUUAUAUUUUUAAGGAUCUCACCUCUUUUGGUAAGUUAGGUCUCAGUAUUUAAUGUUUUGGAGAAGGC
This 971-nucleotide long non-coding RNA is filed under the name Canis lupus familiaris (dog). RNAcentral's name for it is "lncRNA (ENSCAFG00000059265.1)". The record is from RNAcentral. Lineage: Eukaryota; Metazoa; Chordata; Mammalia; Carnivora; Canidae.